AUGUCCAUAAACUAUACAUAUAAACCAUAAUCUUUCACUUACGCUAACUGACCUACAGUACUUGUGUUCACGAGAGAAUGGCGUUCCAGCAGAUGACGCAGGUGUAUUGAUAAGCUCCGGUGACAGUAUGCUAGUCUCGUGAGAACCAAGUUUUGUUUACAGCAAAGGAAAACCAGCCUCCUCUUGGCUCUGAAAUUUUUCUUUUAAAAAUCCUUGUUUUGUACUUCUAAUUUGUGACUGGUGUUUUGUUUUGCUCUCUCCUCUGCGCUUCCGCACUCGUCACUUCUCACCGAAGCUAAAGCUGCGCCUACGUCCUACGUCAGUGGUUCUCAACCAUUCCUGGAGGACCCACAACGCUGCAAAUUUUGCCUGUCUCCUUUUUCUGACACAGCCAUUUCAAGUCUUUGAGUUUCUACUAAUGGGCAGGUGACCUGAAUCAGGUGUGUUUGAUUAAGGAGACAUGCAAAAUGUGCAGUGAUGGGGGUCCUCCAGAAAUGUGGUUGAGAACCACUGUCCUACGUCAUCUGCUGGAACACUCUCAUGAAUGUGUAUAUGACAGAGGAAGGGAGGUUUAUAUAAUAUUAUUAUAAAGUUUUAAUUAUGGAUAUUUUUCUUACACAAACGCAUAGAUUCACUUCAGAAGGUGUUUAUUAACCCCCGGGGGCCACGUUGAGUAUUUUUUUUUUUAUGAUGAAUGGAUGCACUUUAAUUUGCUUCAAAAUCUCGACCACCAUUCACUGCCAAAGCCAGGACAUUUUUUAAUAUAACACCGAUUGUAUUCCUCUGAAAGAAGAAAGUGAUAUAUGCCUUAUGCCUAGGAUCGCUUGAGGCUUCACUCUUCUCAAACCUUCAUGCCAGCCUGUAUCUGGAUGGCAGAAUCUGGAUGGGAGAUCAUUGUUGUUCUUACCUCAAUAGCAAGGAGUCUUCUCUCCAAGUAGUCCAUAAGGGCCUGCUGCUGUGCCCCCACCAGGCCAGAGAGAAUGAGGACAAGGAGCUGGACGGCUUUCAUCUUAAAGACCGGAGGAGACUGCUUUAGAAACACUGAGUAUGUGCGUAUGUUAGGCGGAGUGGAAAAGCCCUCAUGCAGAGGCACUGAGUUGGCUGGAAUGUUUAAAGAAAGAGCAGACCGAGAGGAGGAGCCUAACACAUCUGGAGCAGCUCUUUCUCUGGAGAGCUGGAUGACCUCCAGCUCCUUUUCUGGCGGUUCAUCGGGAUAAAUCCGAAAAAGGGCACCAAGGCUGGAGGAGUCACAUCAAAGCCAAAGGAUGGGGAAGGUCAUCCCA
Cyprinus carpio (common carp) is the source of this 1283-nucleotide long non-coding RNA. RefSeq lists it as uncharacterized. The transcript has 3 exons. The record is from RefSeq and is a predicted model, not a curated record. Lineage: Eukaryota; Metazoa; Chordata; Actinopteri; Cypriniformes; Cyprinidae.